GCAUAUCAAUAAGCGGAGGAAAAGAAACCAACAGGGAUUGCCUCAGUAACGGCGAGUGAAGCGGCAACAGCUCAAAUUUGAAAUCUGGCCCUAGGCCCGAGUUGUAAUUUGCAGAGGAUGCUUUUGGUGCGGUGCCUUCCAAGUUCCCUAGAACGGGACGCCAGAGAGGGUGAGAGCCCCGUACAGUUGGACACCAAGCCUUUGUAAAGCUCCUUCGACGAGUCGAGUAGUUUGGGAAUGCUGCUCAAAAUGGGAGGUAUAUUUCUUCUAAAGCUAAAUACCGGCCAGAGACCGAUAGCGCACAAGUAGAGUGAUCGAAAGAUGAAAAGCACUUUGAAAAGAGGGUUAAACAGCACGUGAAAUUGUUAAAAGGGAAGCGCUUGUGACCAGACUUGCGUCCGGUGAAUCACCCAGCUCUCGCGGCUGGGGCACUUCGCCGGCUCAGGCCAGCAUCAGCUCGCUGUCGGGGACAAAAGCUUCGGGAACGUAGCUCUCUUCGGGGAGUGUUAUAGCCUGUUGCACAAUACCCUUCGGCGGGCUGAGGUACGCGCUCCGCAAGGAUGCUGGCAUAAUGGUCAUCAGCGACCCGUCUUGAAACACGGACCAAGGAGUCAACCUUAUGUGCGAGUGUUCGGGUGUCAAACCCCUACGCGUAAUGAAAGUGAACGCAGGUGAGAGCUUCGGCGCAUCAUCGACCGAUCCUGAUGUUCUCGGAUGGAUUUGAGUAAGAGCAUAUAGGGUUGGACCCGAAAGAAGGUGAACUAUGCGUGUAUAGGGUGAAGCCAGAGGAAACUCUGGUGGAGGCUCGCAGCGGUUCUGACGUGCAAAUCGAUCGUCAAAUAUGCGCAUGGGGGCGAAAGACUAAUCGAACCUUCUAGUAGCUGGUUUCCGCCGAG
RNAcentral lists this ribosomal RNA (896 nucleotides) under Colletotrichum theobromicola. RNAcentral describes it as "LSU rRNA". It matches the Rfam family "Eukaryotic large subunit ribosomal RNA", at positions 38 to 965 of the family's 3401-position model. The record is from RNAcentral. Lineage: Eukaryota; Fungi; Ascomycota; Sordariomycetes; Glomerellales; Glomerellaceae.